UGGGGAAUAUUGGACAAUGGGGGAAACCCUGAUCCAGCAAUGCCGCGUGUGUGAAGAAGGCCUUCGGGUUGUAAAGCACUUUCGGUUGGGAGGACUGCUUCUAUCACUAAUAUUGUUGGAAGUUGACGUUACCUUCAGAAGAAGCACCGGCUAACUCCGUGC
Molecule: ribosomal RNA, 162 nt
Filed under: uncultured bacterium
Lineage: Bacteria
Description: partial 16S ribosomal RNA
Rfam family: Bacterial small subunit ribosomal RNA
Source: RNAcentral